CCCUUAGAUGUUCUGGGCCGCACGCGCGCUACACUGACGAAUGCAACGAGCUUAUAACCUUGGCCGAAAGGUCUGGGUAAUCUCCAAAUUUCGUCGUGAUGGGGAUAGAUUAUUGCAAUUAUUAAUCUUCAACGAGGAAUGCCUAGUAAGCGCAAGUCAUCAGCUUGCGUUGAUUACGUCCCUGCCCUUUGUACACACCGCCCGUCGUUCCUACCGAUUGAAUGGUCCGGUGAAGCGUUCGGACCGUGGCCUUUGGACGGUUCGCCGUCUGUUGGCUGCGGGAAGUUCGUUAAACCUUAUCAUUUAGAGGAAGGAGAAGUCGUANCA
Molecule: ribosomal RNA, 327 nt
Filed under: uncultured eukaryote
Lineage: Eukaryota
Description: partial 18S ribosomal RNA
Rfam family: Eukaryotic small subunit ribosomal RNA
Source: RNAcentral